GAUGAACGCUGACAGCAUGCUUAACACAUGCAAGUCUACCUGAACGUCGGUUUGGUUGGCGGACGGGUGAGUAACGCGUAAAGAACUUGCCUCACAGUUAGGGACAACUUUUGGAAACGAAUGCUAAUACCUGAUAUGAUGAUUUUAGGGCAUCCUAGGAUUAUGAAAGCGAUCUGUGCUGUGAGAGAGCUUUGCGUGCCAUUAGCGAGUUGGAAAGGUAACGGCUCCCCAAGGCGAUGAUGGGUAGCCUACCGGGGAGGGUGGACGGCCACAAUGGGAGUGAGACACGCACCAGGGUACUACGGGAGGCAGAAGAAGGGAAUCUGCGGCAAUGGGCGGGAGCCUGACGGAGAAAGGCGGAGUGAGUGAUGAAGGUCUUGGGUGCGUAAAAAUGGGUUAUGAGGGAAGAACAGAUGUGUAAGUAACUAUGCACGUCUUGACGGUACCGAAUCAGAAAGCCACGGCUAACUACGUG
This 475-nucleotide ribosomal RNA is filed under the name uncultured bacterium. Its description in RNAcentral is "partial 16S ribosomal RNA". It matches the Rfam family "Bacterial small subunit ribosomal RNA", at positions 28 to 507 of the family's 1533-position model. The record is from RNAcentral.